This 512-nucleotide ribosomal RNA is filed under the name uncultured Gemmatimonadota bacterium. RNAcentral's name for it is "bacterial SSU rRNA". It matches the Rfam family "Bacterial small subunit ribosomal RNA", at positions 964 to 1500 of the family's 1533-position model. The record is from RNAcentral. Lineage: Bacteria; Pseudomonadati; Gemmatimonadota.
CAAAACCUUCCUGGGCUCAUUGAAAAGCUCAAACGUAGCCCCUUUGAGUUCCAGCCAGAUUGCAUGCUGUCGUCAGCUCGUGUCGUAAUGUUGGGUUAAGUCCGCACGAGCGCACCCUCAUCUCCAGUUCCAGCGGGUAAUGCCGGGGACUCUGGAGGGCUGCCGGUGCCAACCGGAGGAAGGUGGGGCGCGUCAAGUCAUCAUGGCUCUUACGUCCAGGGCUACACACGUGCUCCAAUGCCGAGACAGAGGGUCGCGAACCCGCGAGGGGGAGCCAAUCCCCAAACUCGGCCUCAGUUCGGAUUGUAGUCUGCAACUCGACUACAUGAAGCUGGAAUCGCUAGUAAUCGUGGAUCAGUACGCCACGGUGAAUACGUUCCCGGGCCUUGUACACACCGCCCGUCACGCCAUGGAAGCUGUGAGCGCCCGAAGUUCGGUGUUCGGAACCCCGCAAGGGGACCAAGCCGCCUAAGGCGAGCGCAGUGACUGGGGCGAAGUCGUAACAAGGUAAC